This 253-nucleotide ribosomal RNA is filed under the name uncultured bacterium. Its description in RNAcentral is "partial 16S ribosomal RNA". It matches the Rfam family "Bacterial small subunit ribosomal RNA", at positions 524 to 776 of the family's 1533-position model. The record is from RNAcentral.
UACGAAGGGGGCUAGCGUUGCUCGGAAUUACUGGGCGUAAAGCGCACGUAGGCGGCUUCUUAAGUCGGUGGUGAAAUCCUGGAGCUCAACUCCAGAACUGCCUUCGAUACUGGGAAGCUCGAGUCCGGGAGAGGUGAGUGGAACUGCGAGUGUAGAGGUGAAAUUCGUAGAUAUUCGCAAGAACACCAGUGGCGAAGGCGGCUCACUGGCCCGGUACUGACGCUGAGGUGCGAAAGCUAGGGGAGCAAACAGG